This is a long non-coding RNA of Apodemus sylvaticus (European woodmouse), 501 nucleotides long. RefSeq lists it as uncharacterized. NCBI's taxonomy places the organism in Eukaryota, Metazoa, Chordata, Mammalia, Rodentia, Muridae. The transcript has 3 exons. The record is from RefSeq and is a predicted model, not a curated record.
GUGCGGAUGGGGCGGCCCCUGGGCACUGUCUGGGACAGGGCGUUGGCACUCUGGGCAAACAGGUUGCCUCGCAGUUACCUGCCACUCCAGGAGCUUCUUUCCUGCCCAUGCUAGGACCUGCUUGUCGGGUGCUUACUGCGGUCCACCCUUGUUGUAGUCCCCAGUGGCUCAGAGCCCCAUGGUGGCUCCCAGGCUGCUCCAGCGAACCCACCCUCUGCCCGCUGCACCAGUUAUAAGGAAGGACUCUCCCAAUAUCCAUACUGUUUUCUCUGACGCCCAGGAGAUCGCCUCAGCGCACUUGUGUAAAUGUUUCUCUGGGAAGAAUCGAAGAAGUGGAAUUGGAUCAUAGAGGAGAGAUAUAUUUCAAUUCAUACUUUCAAAUUGCUUGCCAAAAACCACAUCUACCAGAAAUCAGUGGAUGUAUGAGUGUGUAUGCUUGUGUGAAUGAGUGUGUGUGUGUGUGUGUGUGUGUAUUUUGUAACCUCACUCACAGUUUGUAUG